AACGAACGCUGGCGGCAUGCCUAACACAUGCAAGUCGAACGAGACCUUCGGGUCUAGUGGCGCACGGGUGCGUAACGCGUGGGAACCUGCCCUUAGGUUCGGAAUAACUCCCCGAAAGGGGUGCUAAUACCGGAUAAUGUCUUCGGACCAAAGAUUUAUCGCCUUUGGAUGGGCCCGCGUUGGAUUCGCUAGUUGGGAGGGUAAGAGCCUACCAAGGCGACGAUCCAUAGCUGGUCUGAGAGGAUGAUCAGCCACACUGGGACUGAGACACGGCCCAGACUCUUACGGGAGGCGGCAGUGGGGAAUAUUGGACAAUGGGGGAAAGCAUGAUCCAGCAAGGCCGCGUGAGUGAUGAAGGCCUUAGAGUUGUAAAGCUCUUUUACCCGGGAUGAUAAUGACGGUACCGGAAGAAUAAGCUCCGGCUAACUCCGUG
This 433-nucleotide ribosomal RNA is filed under the name uncultured bacterium. RNAcentral describes it as "partial 16S ribosomal RNA". It matches the Rfam family "Bacterial small subunit ribosomal RNA", at positions 29 to 507 of the family's 1533-position model. The record is from RNAcentral.